CCUGUUGAGCUUGACUCCGGUCUGGUGCUGUGAAGAGACACGAGAGGUGUAGGAUAAGCGGGAGGCCGGGCGUGCCCUCGGUGGUGCGGCGUGACCUGCCUGCCAGCGUCCCGGCCAUCGGUGAAAUACUACAACUCUGAUCAUUUUUUUCACUUACCCGAUGAGGCGGGGGGGGGCGAGCCCCGAGGGGGGCUCUCGUUUCUGGUGCAAAGUGCCUGGUGUGACCCGCUCCAGGGACAGCGGCAGGUGGGGAGUUUGACUGGGGCGGUACAUCUGUCAAAGCGUUACACAGGUGUCCUAAGGCAAGCUCAGCGAGGACAGGAACCUCAUGCAGAGAAGGGCAAAAGCUUACUUGAUCUCGAUCAAGCGGCAGGUGGGGAGUUUGACUGGGGCAUCACCAGAUGCCAUGCUAGUGUGAACAUGACCAAAGG
Molecule: non-coding RNA, 431 nt
Filed under: Fulmarus glacialis (Northern fulmar)
Lineage: Eukaryota; Metazoa; Chordata; Aves; Procellariiformes; Procellariidae
Description: Eukaryotic large subunit ribosomal RNA
Rfam family: Eukaryotic large subunit ribosomal RNA
Source: Rfam by way of RNAcentral